This 305-nucleotide ribosomal RNA is filed under the name uncultured bacterium. Its description in RNAcentral is "bacterial SSU rRNA". It matches the Rfam family "Bacterial small subunit ribosomal RNA", at positions 334 to 631 of the family's 1533-position model. The record is from RNAcentral.
UUUGCCUACGGGGCGCAGCAGUAGGGAAUCUUCCACAAUGGGCGAAAGCCUGAUGGAGCAACGCCGCGUGGGUGAAGAAGGUCUUCGGAUCGUAAAACCCUGUUGUUAGAGAAGAAAGUGCGUGAGAGUAACUGUUCACGUUUCGACGGUAUCUAACCAGAAAGCCACGGCUAACUACGUGCCAGCAGCCGCGGUAAUACGUAGGUGGCAAGCGUUAUCCGGAUUUAUUGGGCGUAAAGGGAACGCAGGCGGUCUUUUAAGUCUGAUGUGAAAGCCUUCGGCUCAACCGGAGAAUUGCAUCAGAA